UUAGGAAUAUUCGUCAAUGGGGGAAACCCUGAACGAGCAAUGCCGCGUGAACGAUGAAGGCCCUAUGGGUUGUAAAGUUCUGUUGUAUGGGAAGAAUUGCUAGGAUAGGAAAUGAUCUUAGUUUGACGGUACCAUACCAGAAAGCUCCGGCUAACUACGUGCCAGCAGCCGCGGUAAUACGUAGGGAGCGAGCGUUAUCCGGAUUUAUUGGGCGUAAAGGGUGUGUAGGCGGUUUGUUAAGUAUGAGAUUAAAGCCCGAGGCUUAACCUCGGUUCGUUUCAUAAACUGGCAGACUUGAGUAUGGCAGAGGUAAACGGAAUUUCUAGUGUAGCGGUAGAAUGCGUAGAUAUUAGAAGGAACACCAGUGGCGAAGGCGGUUUGCUGGGCCAUAACUGACGCUGAGGCACGAAAGCGUGGGGAGCAAAUAGG
Molecule: ribosomal RNA, 429 nt
Filed under: uncultured bacterium
Lineage: Bacteria
Description: bacterial SSU rRNA
Rfam family: Bacterial small subunit ribosomal RNA
Source: RNAcentral